GACGAACGCUGGCGGCGGGCUUAACACAUGCAAGUCGAACGGUAAGGCCCUGCUGUUUUGGGGUGCUCGAGUGGCGAACGGGUGAGUAACACGUGAGUAACCAGCCCCUUACUUUGGGAUAACUUCAGGAAACUGGGGCUAAUAACGCAUAGGAACUCCGGCUGCAUGGUGGGGGGGGGAUAGUUGCGGCGGUUGGGGAUGGACUCGCGGCUGAGCAGCUUGUUGGUGGGGGAGUGGCUUACCAAGGCUUUGCCCUGUAGCCGGCCUGAGAGGGUGAGAGGCGACAUUGGGACUGAGAGACGGCCCAGACUCCGACGGGAGGCAGAAGUGGGGAAUAUUGAUCCAUGGGUGGAGGCCUGAUGCAGAAGCGCCGUGUGCGGGAUAGCGGCCUUCGGGUUGUAGACGGUGUUCGCUUAUAACGGAGCUUUGUGUGACGGUAGUGGGUAAAGAAGCACCGGCUAACUACGUG
RNAcentral lists this ribosomal RNA (469 nucleotides) under uncultured bacterium. Its description in RNAcentral is "partial 16S ribosomal RNA". It matches the Rfam family "Bacterial small subunit ribosomal RNA", at positions 28 to 507 of the family's 1533-position model. The record is from RNAcentral.